GGCUACCUGGCGCAAUGGUAGCGUGUCCGCCUACGAUCUUGUCGAUAGCGGGAGGUUGCAGGUUCGACCCCUGCGGUGGUCA
Non-coding RNA from Tulasnella sp. 332, 82 nucleotides. Lineage: Eukaryota; Fungi; Basidiomycota; Agaricomycetes; Cantharellales; Tulasnellaceae. The record is from the annotation of a GenBank genome assembly.